UGCAAGCGGUCGCGGAGUCCCAGGGUGCUAAAUCUGCUGUGAGGUCCGGACUACGAGGGCCAGCCUAAGGCUCUCUCGCUCCAUACUCCCAUCCCCACGAAGGCUCGAAUCGCCGGAACAGAGGCAUAGUCUCUUUUGGGGAUAGUGAGACAUCUAGAACUAACUGGAUUGUCCACUGCAAAAGAUUUAAAUGGUCCUUUCUUAUGUUGUGUGCAAUUUACCACCAAAGAAAAGCGUCUCCUCUGCCUUUUUGACACAUGGAAAUGUGGAACAAGCAAAUAGGAACAUCUAGAAGGAGGCAUCGCUGGGAGGGCUGACUCCGUCAUCUCCGUAAGGGGUCAGCCAGCAUUGGACAGGAUAGCGCGUGGGCUUUGCCAAAAAAUGAGCAGACACUCUCGUGUUCCGUGAGUUUCCGCGGCUCUCUCCCUGGGCUGGAAAGGAAGAAGGUUCAGAGGCCUGUGUACAGAGUUGAGACUUACAAGACUCAAGAGGUGCUCUGAUGGGAAGUGGCCACUGGCUCAGCUCAGAAAAAGAAUGUUUCUGGUCAGGCACAGUAGUCACACCUAUGAUCCAGGGACUCCAGAGGCUCAAAAUUCCAGCCAAGCUCAGCAAGACUGUCUCAAAAUAAAGAGGACUUGGGGUGCAGUGUGGUGGAAAGGCUCCCUGGGUUCACUCCUCAGUGGCCCCAAAGUUUCUGCUUUAAGCAACACAGGUCACUUGGGGAUGUCUGGAAACUACAGAAAGGACCAAGAAGAAAGUAAAGAAGACUCCCCAGUUCCCUUAUCCACGACGACGCCUGAGGUGCAGACCUGCUUCAGUGUGACCCUCAGCCAGCCUCAGAGCCACCUCACACCAGAGCCAAAGGCCCAGCCUGGCCAGGCCUCUACAGCAGCAGCCCCUCACCUGGCACCCCUCCUUCCCUGCUUGGCAUAUCCUGGGCCUUUUUUGGAUUUUUUUGUUGUUGUUUUAUUGAUUUUAUUUUUUUAAAUACACAACAGCAGAAUGCAUUACA
Marmota flaviventris (yellow-bellied marmot) is the source of this 1012-nucleotide non-coding RNA. The record is from RefSeq and is a predicted model, not a curated record. NCBI's taxonomy places the organism in Eukaryota, Metazoa, Chordata, Mammalia, Rodentia, Sciuridae.